GUAGGGUCCAAGCGUUAAUCGGAAUUACUGGGCGUAAAGCGUGCGCAGGCGGUUGUGCAAGACCGAUGUGAAAUCCCCGGGCUUAACCUGGGAAUUGCAUUGGUGACUGCACGGCUAGAGUGUGUCAGAGGGGGGUAGAAUUCCACGUGUGGCAGUGAAAUGCGUAGAGAUGUGGAGGAAUACCGAUGGCGAAGGCAGCCCCCUGGGAUAACACUGACGCUCAUGCACGAAAGCGUGGGGGGGAGCAAACAGGAUUAGAUACCCUGGUAGUCCACGCCCUAAACGAUGUCAACUAGUUGUUGGGGAUUCAUUUCCUUAGUAACGUAGCUAACGCGUGAAGUUGACCGCCUGGGGAGUACGGUCGCAAGAUUA
Molecule: ribosomal RNA, 372 nt
Filed under: uncultured organism
Description: partial 16S ribosomal RNA
Rfam family: Bacterial small subunit ribosomal RNA
Source: RNAcentral